RNAcentral lists this ribosomal RNA (301 nucleotides) under uncultured bacterium. Its description in RNAcentral is "partial 16S ribosomal RNA". It matches the Rfam family "Bacterial small subunit ribosomal RNA", at positions 510 to 808 of the family's 1533-position model. The record is from RNAcentral.
AGCCGCCGCGGUAAUACAGAGGGUGCAAGCGUUAAUCGGAAUUACUGGGCGUAAAGCGCGCGUAGGUGGUUUGUUAAGUUGGAUGUGAAAUCCCCGGGCUCAACCUGGGAACUGCAUUCAAAACUGACUGACUAGAGUAUGGUAGAGGGUGGUGGAAUUUCCUGUGUAGCGGUGAAAUGCGUAGAUAUAGGAAGGAACACCAGUGGCGAAGGCGACCACCUGGACUAAUACUGACACUGAGGUGCGAAAGCGUGGGGAGCAAACAGGAUUAGAUACCCCUGUAGUCCCUGUCUCUUAUACC